RNAcentral lists this ribosomal RNA (492 nucleotides) under uncultured bacterium. RNAcentral describes it as "partial 16S ribosomal RNA". It matches the Rfam family "Bacterial small subunit ribosomal RNA", at positions 29 to 507 of the family's 1533-position model. The record is from RNAcentral.
AGUGAACGCUGGCGGUAGGCCUAACACAUGCAAGUCGAACGGCGGCACAGUAAGAGCUUGCUCUUACGGGUGGCGAGUGGCGGACGGGUGAGGAAUACAUCGGAAUCUACUUUUUCGUGGGGGAUAACGUAGGGAAACUUACGCUAAUACCGCAUACGACCUACGGGUGAAAGCAGGGGAUCUUCGGACCUUGCGCGAUUGAAUGAGCCGAUGUCGGAUUAGCUAGUUGGCGGGGUAAAGGCCCACCAAGGCGACGAUCCGUAGCUGGUCUGAGAGGAUGAUCAGCCACACUGGAACUGAGACACGGUCCAGACUCCUACGGGAGGCAGCAGUGGGGAAUAUUGGACAAUGGGCGAAAGCCUGAUCCAGCCAUACCGCGUGGGUGAAGAAGGCCUUCGGGUUGUAAAGCCCUUUUGUUGGGAAAGAAAAGCAGCGGGUUAAUACCCCGCUGUUCUGACGGUACCCAAAGAAUAAGCACCGGCUAACCUCGUG